This 450-nucleotide ribosomal RNA is filed under the name uncultured bacterium. Its description in RNAcentral is "partial 16S ribosomal RNA". It matches the Rfam family "Bacterial small subunit ribosomal RNA", at positions 354 to 796 of the family's 1533-position model. The record is from RNAcentral.
GUGGGGAAUAUUGGACAAUGGGCGAAAGCCUGAUCCAGCCAUGCCGCGUGUGUGAAGAAGGUCUUCGGAUUGUAAAGCACUUUAAGUUGGGAGGAAGGGCAGUAAGUUAAUACCUUGCUGUUUUGACGUUACCGACAGAAUAAGCACCGGCUAACUUCGUGCCAGCAGCCGCGGUAAUACGAAGGGUGCAAGCGUUAAUCGGAAUUACUGGGCGGAAAGCGCGCGUAGGUGGUUUUGUAAGUUGGAGGUGAAAUCCCCGGGCUCAACCUGGGAACUGCCUCCAAAACUGCAUGACUAGAGUACGGUAGAGGGUAGUGGAAUUUCCUGUGUAGCGGUGAAAUGCGUAGAUAUAGGAAGGAACACCAGUGGCGAAGGCGACUACCUGGACUGAUACUGACACUGAGGUGCGAAAGCGUGGGGAGCAAACAGGAUUAGAAACCCUAGUAGUCC